AAAGACCGUCCCAGUUCGGAUUGCAGGCUGCAACCCGCCUGCAUGAAGUUGGAAUCGCUAGUAAUCGCGGAUCAGCAUGCCGCGGUGAAUACGUUCCCGGGCCUUGUACACACCGCCCGUCACACCAUGAGAGUCGGGAACACCCGAAGUCCGUAGCCUAACCGCAAGGAGGGCGCGGCCGAAGGUGGGUUCGAUAAUUGGGGUGAAGUCGUAACAAGGUACC
RNAcentral lists this ribosomal RNA (223 nucleotides) under uncultured bacterium. Its description in RNAcentral is "partial 16S ribosomal RNA". It matches the Rfam family "Bacterial small subunit ribosomal RNA", at positions 1278 to 1500 of the family's 1533-position model. The record is from RNAcentral.